This 253-nucleotide ribosomal RNA is filed under the name uncultured bacterium. RNAcentral describes it as "partial 16S ribosomal RNA". It matches the Rfam family "Bacterial small subunit ribosomal RNA", at positions 524 to 776 of the family's 1533-position model. The record is from RNAcentral.
UACGUAGGGUGCGAGCGUUAAUCGGAAUUACUGGGCGUAAAGCGUGCGCAGGCGGUUCGCCAAGUCAGGUGUGAAAUCCCCAGGCUUAACCUGGGAACUGCAUUCGAGACUGCAUUGCUAGAGUAUGGGAGAGGGAAGUGGAAUUUCCGGUGUAGCGGUGAAAUGCGUAGAUAUCGGAAGGAACAUCAGUGGCGAAAGCGACUUCCUGGACCAAUACUGACGCUCAUGUGCGAAAGCGUGGGGAGCAAACAGG